GUCCCCAAAAAAAUUCACAAUCCACCCAUGAAGUAGGUUUGCCUGACCUCCACUAGACUUGACAAAGCGAGGAGAGGACAAGCUAUGAAGACAAGCAUUGCUAGAACUAGGUCUGGUAUUGGAGACAAAGACAAAUUGAAAGGGAACGAUCUAACCAACAAAGAUGUCCCUACAACCUCCAUCUGAAGCAGGAUUUCCCAAUACCAAUUGCAGCUGAAAAAUACUGAAAAUAGAAGAACAGCAGAAUUUGGGAUGGCCAUCACAUGCUGCCUUCGUGCUACCACCCUAUGUCACUCGUGUACCAAUAUUUUCCCUCUCCCUUUACCCUCUUUCAUACUUAGCUUACACAAUUUCAGCUUAAACAAUUUCAAGUUAGAACUUAUUAGGACUAGGAAAUGAAGUGGGUUUGAUUAUUGGUCUUGGUUGGACUAAAAACUUAACCAAGGAAUGAAAUCUCAAU
This 460-nucleotide unclassified non-coding RNA is filed under the name Hevea brasiliensis (rubber tree). Lineage: Eukaryota; Viridiplantae; Streptophyta; Magnoliopsida; Malpighiales; Euphorbiaceae. The record is from RNAcentral.